AUUGAACGCUGGCGGCGUGCCUAACACAUGCAAGUCGAGCGGUAACAGGUGUAGCAAUACAUGCUGACGAGCGGCGGACGGGUGAGUAACGCUUGGGAAUCUGCCUAUUAGUGGGGGACAACCCGGGGAAACUCGGGCUAAUACCGCAUACGCUCUACGGAGGAAAGCCGGGGACCGCAAGGCCUGGCGCUAAUAGAUGAGCCCAAGUCGGAUUAGCUAGUUGGUAGGGUAANGGCCUACCAAGGCGACGAUCCGUAACUGGUCUGAGAGGACGACCAGUCACACCGGAACUGAGACACGGUCCGGACUCCUACGGGAGGCAGCAGUGGGGAAUAUUGGACAAUGGGCGAAAGCCUGAUCCAGCGACGCCGCGUGGGUGAAGAAGGCCUGCGGGUU
This 396-nucleotide ribosomal RNA is filed under the name uncultured bacterium. RNAcentral's name for it is "bacterial SSU rRNA". It matches the Rfam family "Bacterial small subunit ribosomal RNA", at positions 29 to 424 of the family's 1533-position model. The record is from RNAcentral.